This is a long non-coding RNA of Homo sapiens (human), 3565 nucleotides long. RefSeq lists it as uncharacterized. Lineage: Eukaryota; Metazoa; Chordata; Mammalia; Primates; Hominidae. The record is from RefSeq and is a predicted model, not a curated record. The transcript has 3 exons.
AAGGCGUUCAAUAGGUGUCUCCAGGGCUCCUCCAAGUCAGGCUCUACAGCUGGGAGACCAGAGUGGCCAUGGAAGGCAUCACUGAGGAGGGAACAUUGAGAUGAUGGCUGAAUAGCCAUCCACGCAGAAAGCUGGGAGAAGAACCUUCUGGACAGGGAGAACAGGAAUUGCAAAGGCCCAAGGUAACCAAGUUCAAUAAAAGGCUACUUUUCCAUCUCCAGUCUUCCGUCCACACCUGAACACACCAUCGUCAACCAGGCCAUCGAGGCCACAAGUUACACACCAUGACCUCAUCACACACUUGAUUUGUUGACUCGGAGCAAGUUACCAGCAAUGAAUUAUCAACCCCUUUCCCAGAAUGGCAAGCCCUGGGGCUAUGUGCAAACUGAGGCGGGAAAAUAAGAGGUGUCAAUAGAGCUGAGUUUGCUCUGGGCCCAGGGCCAUGUAGAUAAGCUGGUUAUCAUCACCAGCUCCAGCUCCAAGAGGCACAGUGGGUGCCACUGCCACCACCAGGAACCCUGGGGUUUGCUUGUCCUCCUGCUGGAACGCCCAGCACACCCACAGGGCCAAGAGGAAAGUAAACGCUCUUGACUAAUCUCCCCCAGUGCUAUCACAGGGGCCCCCCGAAGGUGGCUGCUCCUUUGGCAGAGUCUGGUUCUUCCAUUCCUUCUUGGAAGAUGGCCAUGGGGCAUCAGCACCUGACCAUGAUGUCUGGUGGCUAGAAUUCAACUUGAAAUCAGUUGAGACCCAAGUAAUGCCCAGGCUUUCCCGGUGGGUUUUCCUUGCUCCAUUCUUUGUCUCCAUACAGUGAAGCCCCCAGAAAGCAUCAGUUGUUCAUCCCUCAUCAGGGCCUUCAAAGUUCCAAGGUCUUUCUUGAGCCUCAGAGAGGCAACAAGUCCUUGAAUGCACCCUUGUCUGACCCUCCCAACUCAGCCAAGAAUCCCCUAAAGAUGAAAUAGAACAUUGGGUUUCAAUUGUCGAAGUCUGACCAGAAGAUGUUCCUUACUCUAAAUACAGGCCAGUGUCACACCAACUUACAAGGGUCAGUGUGUUAUGAACAAGGAGGGGAAGCUGUGGGGCUGCCAAGCUGGGCACAAGUCAAGCACUAACCGGCACCACUGCCUCCUGCUUCCUGGUGCCACUCCAGCCGGGGCUGCCCCCACUGUGUCUGGCAGCUUCCAAUAUUGCUUUCCUGCUGCCAUAAGAUGGCAGGUCUGGCAACAGAACUGGAGCCGGACUUAAGGAGAAAGAGGAAGGAACUUCAGCUCUGGCACCUGCAGACCCCCGAAAGUGACCUACGGAAGCUGGCAGCAGGGACUGCAAUUGAGCAUUCUCUCACCUUUCCCUUCUCAGAGCUCCCCAAGCCUAUGCCCAGGUGGGAAGAGGAUUACCUGAGAGCCAGAAGCCCCGGGUCCCAGCACUUCACUAACCUACCUUGCAUCCCUUCUGUAAAUUAUACACCCCAGCUCUCAGUUUCCCCAUCUCCGGGAUAACAGACUGGACUUGUCCAAGAAUAGCAAUCAUUCCCAAUCCAGUGCCGACGCUGGUUGCUAGAACACGUGGCUGAAGGGAUUGUAUGUUGCUCGGGAUUCUGGGGCCACAUCCAGUGGUAGGGGGUGCUGUGGUUCGCUGGCAAUAUCUGCCUUGGACUCAGAAUGGAGCAUGGUAGACCAGGUGCCACGUCACUGACAUGCAGGAGCUAAAGGACCUUUGCACUCCUGCCCAAUGGAACAUUCCAGCACUUGGAUUCUGUGGGAUGAGAUCUGACAGCCAUAAGGCAGAAGUUACCAACUGGGAAGCUCAUGGAUUCUUCAACAGAAACUCGAGUCAGGCUGAUGAAUUACCUUUACUAAAGGAAUGAAUAACAAUAAAAAAAAUUCUAGGUCCAAGACGUGCCAAGAAAGGUUAGAUAUAUUGGACAAUAUUUUAAAAGGAGAGAUGUUUUGGGUGACCUGCUAUUUUGCUGUCCAGCUUGAGAUGAUGCCAAUGGCCACAGAGUAAUAAAAGGGCCACUGAAUAUGGCCUCGUUCCCAUGGCUCACCAGCAGUAAGCAUCUCUACCACCUCCAUGUCUGGAGCAGGAAUUCCAGCAGGAAGGACGCAGCCUCCAGAACCAUUUGACCAGAAGAUCCAAGUGCGACUGGACUGCUGACAAAAUGUUUCCAGCCUGGAUCCUAUCAGGGGAAUUACAGCGGGUGCUCAUCAAGUGGGAGUUCUCAUGACUGAGGUAUGGGUCUUACUUCUCUCACUCAGAUGUAAACCCACUGAGGACAAAACUCAUGGCUGAUUCAUCUCUAUCAAGCCUACUGCCUGGCAUGUGGAAUGUAUGAAUGAGUGAAUGAACGAGAAGAUGAACAAGGCAAAGCGCUCAUAAGCAUGGCCAGUUUGGCCAGGGAGUAGGCUGUAAGAAGACGUCAGAGCCUUCUGCUUGAAUCUGCUGCCUUGCCGCCCACCCCAGGCUAAGGCACGAAGACCCUCAAAGCUGCUGCUGCAGGUCCUUUGGAGGAGCAGGCAGCUGGGCUCCCUGGCUCUCCCAUCUGGAGCAGGAGGCCCAGGACAGGUGCUUUAAAUACCCUCUGGCCACACCCCCAGCCUACUGCCCCUGGCACCAAUGGUGGCAGAGUCACAGGUCAGAAACCAGGAUUCAGGUCACCCCUUAGAAGGAACAGGGCGUAGAUGGGGACAGAUUGGAUCAGAAAAGGCUGAGGAGGCCAGGUCCAGAGCUGUGCACACCUGGGAGUAACGUGGUAUUUGAGAUACCGAGGACAAAAGAGCUGCGGCUGUCGGGGGCAGGACGCACUAUCAGGGGACCUUAACCUCUGUCCCCAAGAGGGGUUCACACCCCAGGCCACCAGUUUCAGUGGGUUUACACUGGGGCUCUGGGCAGGCGCAGCUCAAGGCAGGUGCUCUGAGGGAGAGCAGGGCUGUGAGGGGCUGGGGAGGCUGGCCCAGAAUCUCCCCAUGCCCGCCUGGAGACUGCAGGCCAACUUCCUGGUCAUGCCCCAGUUCCCAGGAAUUUUCCAGCUCCUGCUUAAUAGCUCCAUCCUCCCUCCAUCUGCCCCCAGCCCACUCCCAGUUUCCAAACAUUUUCUUUUUUGCUUCCAGUUAACCCUUGCUCUGCCCAGUACCGAAUUUCUGUCACUGCCUCCUCCAAGACCUUCUCUUGUAUUUUGCCCAAAGCAGGUGUCAGAACCCUUUCUGGGGGCCGAGCAGCUUGGUGUUGGGAGGCUGUGGUUGAGAUUCCCGGCUCUCUUACUCCCUUCCCAGGGCUUGGGCAAAUUCUUGCCCCCAGUGCCUCCUCUCUGCUUCCUGACUCUCCCUUGAGAGCUUGGACCAUAGACCCCAGCACCCUUCCUGCUCAAGGACACACUCCACUCUGAGUAUACACCCAACAGAAACACAUACAUAUGUUCUCUAAAAGAUGUGUAUUAGAAGCCGGGCACAGUGGCUCACGCCUGUAAUCCCAGGACCUUGGGAGGCCAAGGCAGGUGGAUCACUUGAGCCCAGGAGUUUGAGACCAGCCUGGGCAACACAGGGAGACCCCGUCUACACAAAAAUAAAAAAAA